UUAAGUUCAGCGGGUAGUCUUACUUGAUUUGAGAUCGAGUUUAACAAGAAUCGUUGCCGACCCUUGUGAAAUCCUGCAUCAGUCAGCCAAUGCGGUCAAACUCCCUUUAUGUUAGCUGCAGCAAAAGUAAUAAUCCGUUUGACGGGACUAAAUGAAUAUGCUUUUAGCUCAGGAGAAAGUCCAGCUGCACCUGCAUUUCA
This 200-nucleotide unclassified non-coding RNA is filed under the name Mortierella sp. RNAcentral's name for it is "partial internal transcribed spacer 2". The record is from RNAcentral. Lineage: Eukaryota; Fungi; Mortierellomycota; Mortierellomycetes; Mortierellales; Mortierellaceae.